Long non-coding RNA from Tympanuchus pallidicinctus (lesser prairie-chicken), 1432 nucleotides. RefSeq lists it as uncharacterized. The transcript is spliced from 2 exons. The record is from RefSeq and is a predicted model, not a curated record. NCBI's taxonomy places the organism in Eukaryota, Metazoa, Chordata, Aves, Galliformes, Phasianidae.
AUCAGUCCUAUGAGCAAAAAGAGGGAGAAGUGUGAAUACUUGGGUGGGGGGGAAGCAUACGGUAUUAAGUAUCAGUUCUGCACUUACUUGUUAGGAAAUAAUACCAAUUUUUCAGUGUUUUGCUUAACAGCUUUUUCUGCCAGCAGCAUUUUUUGUUUGUUUUGGUAACUUACAAGGUCAUUGCAGUGUAUAAAAUGCUACGACAAAAGACUGCACAGUGCUUGGAUAGUGGUCCUUUGUACCUGUUUUCAUUUAUUUAUUUUCCAUGUUCUUUCAUCGAUACCUGUAUCUUUGGAAAGAAUGGAUAUUUGGUUUGCUCUGCAUUCCUACAUUUCUUAUGUUUUUCCCUUUGCUUUGGAAAAGCAAACAAAAUAAAUAGAACCGAUAGCCAUAUAAGAUCAGGCAAUACCCAGAAGAGAUCAGAUUCUUGUUUGUACUUGACAAAAAAAAAAAAAGCAAAAAAAAAAAUGCGUAAAAAUAUAUUUGGUGUUAUUUUUGGUAAAUUUCCUCUUACAGAAGAUAUUUUUAAGUAUGUAUGGAUCUUUUUAUGGUAAUUAAGAUAUGUUGGACUUUCUUAAGAAUGGAAUUCCAGUGGAAUUAAAUUAUGAAUGUAAAUGAGAAAAACCCAAGCCUGGUCACAGAAAUGUAAGUGGUUUCAGAUCAUAAAUUCUGCUCCAAAAGGCGGUAUCUGACCAUUCUGUAUUUAUAUGUGAAUAUAAAGACACGUUGCUGCAUCACUAAUGGCAUUAAAAAGGGAGUGACUUCAGUGUUGAGAGCUCCAUCUCCACAGCCAGGAGGGCUGCAGUGCUAUGGCAGAGAUGGCACCAUUGGCCCUGGAGGGACAGGUGAGUGCUGUGAGCAGGAGGCUGAGCAGGGGCGAUGCUGCGGUGCUGCUGAUAUGGGCACAUGCUGGGCAUCCCACUCUUCACUUAAAAUGCAAGGGAGACAAAAUGAUUUCUCCUCAACACUUCCCCCUGAAGCUUCUGAAACAGAACAUGAUCACAAGUUUACUGCUUCCACUUUGUUUUUCUCUUUGCAGGAAACGUGCCUUAUCUGAGUGCUUAAGAAGGAGUGGAAGCUGCAGGUUGGCUUCUCUGCUGCAGCUGUUCAUACUUCCAAGUAUGAAGAAGUAAGCCCAAGUGCACCGAAAGAAAAGCUUUACAUUCAGACCUUAGCACAGUAAAUAUUUUGACUGAAUUAUUGCUGCAAUCAAGUUGAACUCGUAUACAGGCUAUAUAGAUUUUAGUCUUGCGAUGUAAUGAGCAGAAGGUGCUUAAACCACUUCGUCUCAACUUGAAUGUAAAUCAGAGUGCAUCCUGUACCCGUACGUGUGCAUUUUCCCCCAGAAGUUGCUGUGUGUUAGGAAUUAAACUCUCUUCAUCUCAUCUUCAACUUUCCCUUCCGCUCCUUAUUAAAGUGAAAACAACUCCUA